ACUCAAGAGGGAUUUGCUUGGCUGUGUGUGCAUGACACAUAAUGAAAACAAUUUUAUGCUGUGGAGGGAAGUAUCGGGCAAUUACUGAUGUAACAGCCACCUGCAGAAGCGAGCCCCUGGUUGGAGCACAGGGCUGUUCAUGAAUAUUUUAUGUGAGCCAUGGUGUUAACACCAAGAAGAAUUCUGACCCUGCCCAGGGCUCUGCCGGAGCAGCUGAAGCUGAGGAAAGAUGAUGUGACAAGUCAUGGUGGGCACUCUUUAAAACCUCUUGUCUGCCAAUUUUACACAUGAUGUUCAUCUCAAAGAGCCCCUGCAUAAAUCUUGUCCAACUUAAUUUGAUAAGCUAAGUGGUGGAUAAGGAUUAAAUGAGAAUCUGGUAAUGGA
This is a long non-coding RNA of Heteronotia binoei (common prickly gecko), 384 nucleotides long. RefSeq lists it as uncharacterized. The record is from RefSeq and is a predicted model, not a curated record. NCBI's taxonomy places the organism in Eukaryota, Metazoa, Chordata, Lepidosauria, Squamata, Gekkonidae. The transcript has 2 exons.